This 465-nucleotide ribosomal RNA is filed under the name uncultured bacterium. RNAcentral describes it as "bacterial SSU rRNA". It matches the Rfam family "Bacterial small subunit ribosomal RNA", at positions 338 to 795 of the family's 1533-position model. The record is from RNAcentral.
CCUACGGGCCGCACCAGUAGGGAAUCUUCGGCAAUGGACGAAAGUCUGACCGAGCAACGCCGCGUGAGUGAAGAAGGUUUUCGGAUCGUAAAACUCUGUUGUUAGAGAAGAACAAGUAGGAGAGUAGCUGCUCUUACCUUGACGGUAUCUAACCAGAAAGCCACGGCCAACUACGUGCCAGCAGCCGCGGUAAUACGUAGGUGGCAAGCGUUGUCCGGACUUAUUGGGCGUAAAGCGAGCGCAGGCGGUCUUUUAAGUCUGAUGUGAAAGCCCUCGGCUCAACCGAGGAAGGUCAUUGGAAACUGGAGGACUUGAGUGCAGAAGAGGAGAGUGGAAUUCCAUGUGUAGCGGUGAAAUGCGUAGAUAUAUGGAGGAACACCAGUGGCGAAGGCGACUCUCUGGUCUGUAACUGACGCUGAGGCUCGAAAGCGUGGGGAGCAAACAGGAUUAGAUACCCUCGUAGUC